This 988-nucleotide long non-coding RNA is filed under the name Calidris pugnax (ruff). Its description in RNAcentral is "lncRNA (ENSCPUG00000017870.1)". The record is from RNAcentral. Lineage: Eukaryota; Metazoa; Chordata; Aves; Charadriiformes; Scolopacidae.
CGCGGUGGCGGCGGUUGGGGCCCUGAGGGUGGCGGCGGUUGGAGCCGCGCGGGCCGCGCUCGGCCCCGCACCGACAACCGCUGCGAGGGCGGUGCGGCCUGGGCUGCUGGGCCCCUCCCGCCGCCGCCGGGCUCCGGCCGCGUUCGCAGGCGCUCUGCCGUCCGUGUGGCGGGUGAGUCGUUUGCCUCUGCUGUUUUGUGAAGGUAGGAAAUGGCCAAGCCCUUGUGGAAGCCGUCCCGGAGGAGUCAGGUCAACUUGAAGGAACAAAUAAAAGAGAGAAACAAGAAAUCGGCAGGGCUGGGGAAAGCCUGCGAGCCCUCGUCUACAAGUGUCAGCGGCACGAUCAGCAGCCCCGCGCAGCUGAAGAGCAUCCAAGCCAACAACAGAGCUCUAGCGCUGGCUUUGCAGGAAGAGAAGCUCAAAGUGAGAGAAGCCCAUGAUGCCUUUCUGUUGUUAAAGGGAGAGAAUCAAUGCCUGAAGUUUCAGAUCUUUUGUUUACAAGCACUGCUUCAGUCACAGCAAUUGCAGAAUGAGGGAAUGUUUCCUUCAGUGCCUGUAAUGAUUCCUGUUGUCACUGGACAAGAGCAUUGUGCGGGAAUUCCACAGCAUACUGUGAAACUUGGAGAAAUCGCUGAGAGUAAGAUGAAGGCCACAACAGAUGACAGUAAGCCAGAUGGCUUUGUUUCAGAGGACUGCUGUGAAUCUACCAGUCUCUAUGCCAUAGAGGAAGUAGAAACAGAGUGUGGGGAAUCUUUUGAGCCUUCUUGUGAAUGUCUCCAGAAUGUUCCUGGCACGGCGUGCUCCCACCUCAGCACUGGGGUAACAGCACAUGAAAGGCCACUACCUCUGAAACACGGGCAGCGUGGUCCCAGGAACCGUGAAGCUUAGAAGAGAUGCUUUUGCAGACGAAUAUUGUCUGACGGCUCCAACUCUCCAGCAUAAAAAAAGAAAGAAUAAAAGAAAAAGAAGAAUCUCUUGAAAUAAAGGA